AAUGACCUCUGAUUCAGCAGUCUCUUUCCACCCCCACCCUACCCGUGACUCACUGACCAACACUCCACUGUCCACUCUCCACAGUCCAUAGACACUCCACACUAAUUACUCCAUAGUCAAGACUCAAGACUUCGUCCCUGUCUCCAACUCCCACUCUCCCUGACUCCCUUCCCCUUUUUCCUUUUUCCUUUCCCCUUUUCCCAGCAGAUUAAGAAAGCAUUUUCCCCUAAUCCGAAGCAUUCUUGGCGAGAUGAAGAGUCCGCAAUUCUGCAUAGACAACAAAGCAUUCCAGGAUUGCUGGUGUAACCGUGUAAGAUUAUCUUUAAUUAAGCUUCUUAAUUAUAUGAAAUUUUGAGAGAAAACUGAAUGUGAAAAGAAUUUAGGUGUAAUUUAUCUAGGUAUUAUGUGAAUUUAGGUGUAAGAUUGCUGGUUCUCAAUAUUUUAAGGUUUUUUUAUAUUUUACAUUUAAUUCUCCAGAGAAAACUGCAAACGUUAGUAGUAAUUUAUUCUUAAUGCCUUUUGCAGUGCUUUGUUGAAUGAAUAUAACGUAGCACUUGAUAAGUUCCUGAGCUAUGAAUUAAAACCAUAUUUGAUUAGAGUUGGAUUGAUGGAGAGGAUGAUAAUUUGGAAAGUUUUAGCUUUUAAGGGAGUUUAUACAUCCUCAUAUAUAGCCAUGGCCACCAUUGUUGAAUUUUCUGUCAUGUUAAGUGUCAUAUUUAUGGUACAGCUUAGAAUUGUGAGUAAUUGUUUCUGUGAUGAUUUGGCUGCAAGAAAUUGUAAUUGCAAUUGUUUCUGUGAUAAUCUGGCUACAAGAAAUUAUGAUUUGGCUGCAAGAAAUUGUUUAUAUGAUGAUUUUGCUUAAUAAAGAGUAAUUGUUUUAUGCUUUAAAUAGUAGUUAGGCAUGACUUUCAAUAUGUCCAGACUCCAGAUCCUUUGUGUUCGACUUCAAUGCCUGGCAAAAGAUUGUAAUAUCUUCACAUACAUUGUUUUUCUUUUUUUAUUUAGGCAUGACUUUCAAUAGUCUGCAAUCUGCAUGGAUAUCUUUGAUUACUGAAGUGGUACCUGCAGUCUGUAGAAGUGCAAUUUGUAUUUUAAGAUAUUUGGAUAUUUGUAUUGUUUAUUUUACUUUUAUUUGAAUUAUGUAUUUUAAGAUAUUUGUAUUGUUAAAAUAUUUUACUUGCGAUUUUAUGAUUUUAGUUAAAAUAUUUUACUUGCGAUUUUA
Molecule: long non-coding RNA, 1222 nt
Organism: Populus trichocarpa (black cottonwood)
Lineage: Eukaryota; Viridiplantae; Streptophyta; Magnoliopsida; Malpighiales; Salicaceae
Exons: 2
Source: RefSeq, a predicted model, not a curated record